UACGUAGGUGGCAAGCGUUAUCCGGAUUUAUUGGGCGUAAAGGGAACGCAGGUGGUUUAUUAAGUCUGGUGUAAAAGGCAGUGGCUCAACCAUUGUAUGCAUUGGAAACUGGUAGACUUGAGUGCAGGAGAGGAGAGUGGAAUUCCAUGUGUAGCGGUGAAAUGCGUAGAUAUAUGGAGGAACACCGAUGGCGAAAGCGGCUCUCUGGCCUGUAACUGACACUGAGGCUCGAAAGCGUGGGGAGCAAACAGG
RNAcentral lists this ribosomal RNA (252 nucleotides) under uncultured bacterium. RNAcentral describes it as "partial 16S ribosomal RNA". It matches the Rfam family "Bacterial small subunit ribosomal RNA", at positions 524 to 776 of the family's 1533-position model. The record is from RNAcentral.